UGUGUGCUGCUUCUUGUGGUCUGGC
This 25-nucleotide unclassified non-coding RNA is filed under the name Mus musculus (house mouse). Its description in RNAcentral is "oocyte_clustered_small_RNA6304". Lineage: Eukaryota; Metazoa; Chordata; Mammalia; Rodentia; Muridae. The record is from RNAcentral.